Molecule: small RNA, 84 nt
Filed under: Escherichia coli
Lineage: Bacteria; Pseudomonadati; Pseudomonadota; Gammaproteobacteria; Enterobacterales; Enterobacteriaceae
Description: partial RtT sRNA
Rfam family: RtT RNA
About the family: This family represents a bacterial cis-regulatory element known as RtT RNA. The exact function of RtT is unknown although it is thought that it may be involved in changing the cellular response in relation to amino acid starvation.
Source: RNAcentral
AUUCUGCCCAAGCGGGGAAGGAUGAGAAGCUUCGACCAAGGUUCGACUUGAGCGCCAGCGAGAGAGCGUUGCCGCAGGCAACGA